UAGAGCGUAGUCAAGCGGUUACGACACCAGAUUUUGAUUCUGGUAUUCCUUGGUUCGAAUCCAAGCGCUCUAG
Molecule: transfer RNA, 73 nt
Filed under: Escherichia phage EcS1
Lineage: Duplodnaviria; Heunggongvirae; Uroviricota; Caudoviricetes; Pantevenvirales; Straboviridae
Rfam family: tRNA
About the family: Transfer RNA (tRNA) molecules are approximately 80 nucleotides in length. Their secondary structure includes four short double-helical elements and three loops (D, anti-codon, and T loops).
Source: Rfam by way of RNAcentral